This 253-nucleotide ribosomal RNA is filed under the name uncultured bacterium. RNAcentral's name for it is "partial 16S ribosomal RNA". It matches the Rfam family "Bacterial small subunit ribosomal RNA", at positions 524 to 776 of the family's 1533-position model. The record is from RNAcentral.
CACGUAGGGCGCGAGCGUUGUCCGGAAUUAUUGGGCGUAAAGAGCUCGUAGGCGGCCUGUUGCGUCCGCUGUGAAAGCCCGGGGCUUAACCCCGGGUCGGCAGUGGAUACGGGCAGGCUAGAGGUAGGUAGGGGAGAAUGGAAUUCCCGGUGUAGCGGUGAAAUGCGCAGAUAUCGGGAGGAACCCCGGUGGCGAAGGCGGUUCUCUGGGCCUUACCUGACGCUGAGGAGCGAAAGCAUGGGGAGCGAACAGG